Callorhinchus milii (elephant shark) is the source of this 271-nucleotide long non-coding RNA. RefSeq lists it as uncharacterized. The transcript is spliced from 2 exons. Lineage: Eukaryota; Metazoa; Chordata; Chondrichthyes; Chimaeriformes; Callorhinchidae. The record is from RefSeq and is a predicted model, not a curated record.
UAUUUAUUACAAGGACGUGACCUACCAAGCUGACAUUCUCUAAGGAUGUUACAAUGUUAUUACAGCACUUUUCAAUGUUAGACUGAACACAAGGGCAAAGCAGUUUACAGAUAACUGAACUUAUGAUUCAUCACAUGGAUGUUUUUUUUACAAUAUACUGAAUAAGCAUCUUGCAAUCUACCCAAAUCAACCCACCUUCUCAACACAGUCUGUGUGUGCUGGUGAACAUAGCGGAUGGCGAAGCAACUUAUAGACUCAAAACUUUGAAAAA